RNAcentral lists this long non-coding RNA (1296 nucleotides) under Struthio camelus australis. RNAcentral's name for it is "lncRNA (ENSSCUG00000002750.1)". Lineage: Eukaryota; Metazoa; Chordata; Aves; Struthioniformes; Struthionidae. The record is from RNAcentral.
GAAGUCAGCAUUCAAAAAUUUAAUUAUGCCUCAGGAGCUGCUGGGAAAAUUCAUAAUGAAGAACUUCUAAAGUAACUUUCAUCAGAUUCAAAACCUACCAUUCAUGGAUCUCAAAUAAAAAUGUUUGUUCAGGACAUUCAGUAAUGCCUUUUACUUGCUCUGUAAUAUAACAGCUGUCCACUCAUGUCAGAAGAGCUAAGGCGACUUGAAGUGAAAAUGGAAGUAGAGUCAUAGUUGCUCUCUAAAAAAGUGGACUAGACACUGGAAGGGAUUUGCAAGUUGAGAUAUGACUGUAAAGCUGGCAAGGCAGGAUCCUGGAAGCCUUGGGAACCUGGACAGCUGGAACUGAGACACCAGAGGCUGUCAUUUGUACUCUCUUAAAGAAAAUCAUCUGCGAGGGAAUUUCUGCACAGGCCCGGUAGCAACCGAGUAAUAUCUCAUCAACAGCGUUUCAAAGUAGGCCAUGUCUUAACAGCAGAAGGAUUGCAUGGUGUGUGACUCUUUGGGAAAAAUGGGAUUCUCUAUAAAAGGAUGUUUUCAAGACUUACUGGGUACAUUAAAACAGUCAGAUCACCCGAAGUUGUCAAUGCAUGUUUAAAGGAAGCCACUGAACCUUUUUGAUGUGAUCGUGUAUUUGCUAGUUCCCAAAGUGCAUUAUAUCACGUAACAAAAAACUUCAAGUGGAACAAGAAGUCAAAGCAGAGCAAGUAUUGCCUGCUCUGAUAAAGUAUCCUUGUCCUCCCGCUGUUGAAAAUUAUUUUCAGUGUAAGUCUUGCCUAACCAGUUCCAGAUCUUCCUAGCAACUAGAGAGACUAAUGGGUCCGACUGCAGACAUGCCGGGCUUGGGGGCAGUGUAUGCUCAGGUGAUACUAAAGCAGGGAUGGAAGCUGUUGAGAACACUCUGUAUGAGUGACUGCACAAGCUGAGGGGAGCGAAGAAGAAUAUGAGGAGAGCUAGAGGGCCUGUCCGAGCCCAAAACACUCACAAGGAUGUGUGCUUCACAAUUCGUUCUUCUCUUGGCUUUGGAGCAUCGACAUAUCAACUCUGAGUGGUCCUGUGUAACAGGAAAUCAUGCUGAAAUUGAGCCCAGGCCUGAAGUUCUUCGGACUUAUCAGCUGUUUGGAGAUAAACUGGUUGAAAACCUUGAAGGCUGUGUCCUAAGUUAUGCCUAUGGCAAGCUAUGGAAAUGAUGCUAGAGGAAGGAUGCUCAGGUACAUGCAAAGUGAAGGUCACGUAGACUUUGGUUCUCAAGGAGGCCUUAAAACACAAAUAAAUGAAUACAUUUGAUGGUCUUCA